This 253-nucleotide ribosomal RNA is filed under the name uncultured microorganism. RNAcentral's name for it is "partial 16S ribosomal RNA". It matches the Rfam family "Bacterial small subunit ribosomal RNA", at positions 524 to 776 of the family's 1533-position model. The record is from RNAcentral.
UACGUAAGGUGCGAGCGUUAAUCGGAUUUACUGGGCGUAAAGCGUGCGCAGGCGGCCCGUUAAGACAGGUGUGAAAUCCCUGGGCUCAACCUAGGAAUUGCGCUUGUGACUGGCGGGCUCGAGUACGGUAGAGGGGGGUGGAAUUCCUGGUGUAGCAGUGAAAUGCGUAGAGAUCAGGAGGAACACCGAUGGCGAAGGCAGCCCCCUGGGCCUGUACUGACGCUCAUGCACGAAAGCGUGGGGAGCAAACAGG